RNAcentral lists this long non-coding RNA (269 nucleotides) under Panax ginseng (ginseng). RNAcentral describes it as "long non-coding RNA (PGIN_LNC003609)". Lineage: Eukaryota; Viridiplantae; Streptophyta; Magnoliopsida; Apiales; Araliaceae. The record is from RNAcentral.
GCACAUAUAGUUGGUUUAUGCAUCAAUUUCAAAACAAGAUUUUAUGUAUGGAAAAUGUUUUUUUACGAACAGAAUAUGAAAGAAUACUGCAAAUAACCGACUUUUCUUUUAACUGAAUAUGACUAGUGUGACGCCCCCAAAAUUAGGUAUACAUCACCCAUCUUGAGUCGUCAGAUACAUGGUACAGAAUUUAAAUACAACUUAAUAAUACAACUGUCGUGUACAAUACGAUAAAACAUAAACUGUGAGUUUGAAUACAAAUAUUGUCU